This is a non-coding RNA of Pelobates cultripes (western spadefoot toad), 474 nucleotides long. Lineage: Eukaryota; Metazoa; Chordata; Amphibia; Anura; Pelobatidae. The record is from the annotation of a GenBank genome assembly.
GAUUUUCCAAGUCUGCAAAAUUCACCAAAGAACAGUUCCCAACAGAUUAUAGAACCAGAAAGUCACAUUACAAAACACAAUAACCACUCUGGAGUGAAACCACCCUUUACAUAUGCAGAGAUUUGUAGGGAAUCUACAAAAGCAAACUGUGUCCCUAUAUGCAUUACACAAAGUGAGAGUAAGCCAUGUGCACCCAAAAGGGAAGCUCUAGUUGAACUAACAAACACAAAAAUAAAAGAAAACAUAGCACAUGUUUUGAAAGACUAUGCAGAUGGAAUAUCCAUCUUUCAUUUUCAGAUAAAAUAUAUUUUUAAGUUUAAGCAACCUCUUUCUCUCAAUGGAUUUUCUUCAGCGAAACAGUUCUUAAUGGCGAUGAAGGAUGUCGUCUCAGUACAAGGUCUGGGAGUGCAGGCAUUACUGUUUCCAGUAAUUUCUGAUGCAAUGGCAUCCAAUGAAAUUAACAACAAGCAUGGU